This is a non-coding RNA of Schizosaccharomyces pombe (fission yeast), 300 nucleotides long. The record is from the annotation of a GenBank genome assembly. Lineage: Eukaryota; Fungi; Ascomycota; Schizosaccharomycetes; Schizosaccharomycetales; Schizosaccharomycetaceae.
UAUUAAUAUUUUGGUAGCAAGUUCCUACUAAAUUAAUAUUUAGCUUAAUAGUUUACGUUCAAUAUUGCAUAUUUUUUCGAACUCUAUAUUAACAGUAGCUGUACUUUGGAGAAAGUUGACCGAGAAAUCUUUUUAAAGUUGUCCAAUUGAAUUUUCAAUUAUCAAGUAUCUUCAGUUUACUUAUAUGAAAUGUAUUUUCUGCUCUACUCUUAUAAGUCAGUAUUGAGCCACAUAGACGGACCACUUUGAGUUAGUCUCGGAAAAGCAAAUCGACAGAAUAGGUUUUCACUCAGCCACAGG